This is a long non-coding RNA of Salvelinus fontinalis (brook trout), 5711 nucleotides long. RefSeq lists it as uncharacterized. The record is from RefSeq and is a predicted model, not a curated record. The transcript has 5 exons. NCBI's taxonomy places the organism in Eukaryota, Metazoa, Chordata, Actinopteri, Salmoniformes, Salmonidae.
UCAAGAAAUGGAACGGCAAGGCCACAGAACAUGACAUAAGCAGAGCUGUGGGAGACCACCUCAAGCCCCUGGUAGAGCCGGGGGUGGUGUUUACCACUCCACCACGCCUUCAGCAGGCUUGAAAAGUGGGAUUGAUACUGUUUUUCAUACUAAGAUGGACCAAGAAAUGUGUUGAUUUUACACAUAUUUGUUCAUUGGUUUGGCAAGAGUCUUGAUUGGUCAGUCAGUGGGUUCAUUUGUUUUACAAUAUGUUCAAAUCAAAUCAAGCUAUAUUUACACAGCACAUGUCGGACAUGGAUGCAAUGCAAUGGCUUCACAGGAAAAAAAAACAAUGAUAAUUAAACAGAUAUAUUUAGUACGCAACAAACAUAAGAGGAUAAAAAACAGAAGAUUAACAACUGAAAGACUAAUGAACAUUGUAAGGAAAUGCCAUUGAUUAAAAUAUUAACAUUAUGAUGCAACAUCCAACCCAAAAUAUCCGCUUGUUUUACUACAUUGUUAUGCUCCCCGUCAAAAAAAAAUGUUUCUCAACCGGAAAUCCAUGUCUGAAAUGCGCUGUAUAAUUAAAGCUUGGUUUGGUUUGAACAUAUUGCAAAAUGAAUUAACCCAAUGACCAACCAAUCAACAGACUCCUGCUCCAUCUUAGUAUGAAAAACAGUAUAAAUUCAGUGCAUUUGUUGAAGAUGAAAAAUGUUGAAAUCAACAAUACGUCAAAGGAUUCAACUACUGAAAACUGAAACAUACAAAUGGAUCAACCAGAUCAAUCCCACUUUUCCAGCCUGCUGAAGGUGUGGUGGAGUGGUAAACACCACCAGGGGCUUGAGGUGGUCUCCCACAGCUCUGCUUAUGUUAUGUUCUGUGGCCUUGCCGUUCCAUUUCUUGACUGCCCCUGCAACACAGAAAGAAACACAUUUAGUCAUAUUAUAUAAAACAUUCAAAGUAAUGGAUAUGGAGCAUCUACAGCCUCAGUUACACCUGGCACCUAAAUGUGACUUCUGUCAUCUGAUCACUCAAAGCUGCAUUAGGUUCAGAUCUACCAGGAUGGGCCUUGACAUAGUCUGGAUGCAUUCAGGCCACCAAAUAUGCAUAAGCAAUGUAAAGAGAUGUGGGGAAAAGUAAAUUCUACACAAAUUACCUUAAUAAUACCAAAGAACAAAUGUGUGUGCCUGAGAGGAAAUUAACUUUCAUACAGCCAGAAGGGGUGAGAAAUUACAUCAAUAUCAGUGAACAAUUUGCACUAAUGUAAAUAAACAUAGCUAAUGGAACAUAUUCCCUUUUGCUUAAGUGAUGAACCGAUAAGGGGACAUAAAUAUUUACCAUCUAAACCAUCUGUGACCUCUCACCUCUCUGGCUGUAGAAGUGUUCUUCAUAACCAGUCCCUCAACAGCUCUCUGACUGAGCUCCACCCUCACUGGGUCUUCAGAGGAGAGGAAGGCUGAGGAGGGAUGGAAGGAUGAAUGGAUCAAAUCAAAUCAAAUUUUAUUAGUCACAUACACAUGGUUAGCAGAUGUUAAUGCGAGUGUAGCGAAAUGCUUGUGCUUCUAGUUCCGACAAUGCAGUAAUAACAACAAGUAAUCUAACCUAACAAUUCCGCAACUACUACCUUAUACACGCAAGUGUAAAGGGAUAAAGAAAUAAAGAAUAUGUACAUAGAGAUAUAUGAAUGAGUGAUGGUACAGAACGGCAUAGGCAAUGGUGCAGUACAUGGUAUAGAGUACGGUAUAUACCUAUGAGAUGAGUACUGUAGGGUAUGUAAACAUAAAGUGGCAUAGUUUAAAGUGGCUAGUGGUCCAUGUAUUACAUAAGAUGGCAAGAUGCAGUAGAUGAUAUAGAGUACAGUAUAUACAUAUACAUAAGAGAUGUGUAAUGUAGGGUAUGUAAACAUUAUAUUAGGUGGCAUUGUUUAAAGUGGCUGGUGGUACAUUUUUACAUAAUUUCCAUCAAUUCCCAUUUUUAAAGUGGCUGGAGUUGAGUCAGUAUGUUGGCAGCGGCCGCUAAAUGUUAGUGGUGGCUGUUUAACAGUCUGAUGGCCUUGAGAUAGAAGCUGUUUUCAGUCUCUCGGUCCCUGCUUGGAUGCACCUGUACUGACCUCGCCUUCUGGAUGAUAGCGGGGUGAACAGGCAGUGGCUUGGGUGGUUGUUGUCCUUGAUGAUCUUUAUGGCCUUCCUGUGACAUCGGGUGGUGUAGGUGUCCUGGAGGGUGUCCUGGAUCAGUCAUUCAAUAAAGUGUAGAGCUGCUGUCUGACAAAAUCACUAUUUUAGUAGUUCAUUAAAGUAAAUAAGGCUUUAUGACUGCUGAAUACCAGCUAUCAAUCACUUAGAUUGUGUAUUUUCAGGUAGAGAUACAUCUGUGGGGCGUUCCUAGCCCGUUGAAGUUGACAUUUAAAAGGGUUAAGGUGGGGGUUUAGGGUAGGAAUGUCCCAAGAAUCCCAGAUACCAUUUACCAUUGUGCAUUCUUCUGUCUCUUUUACAUAGCAGGUGUAAAAUAAACAGACAAGACAAGUAGACACGCAGGUCAUUAUGGUCAUUGCAGUUUAAAAAAUAGCAUCCAAUUAUGCGUAACUGUAUGUGGGUUUGUUUAAGAAGAAUGUGAUUGUCAGCCCUAACAAUCCAUUCUAGCACCUCAUCAGGUUCUGAAAAAGUCUUCAUUGAUGACAUGUUCCUUCUAUUCCAGGGGACAGCAGAAGAACUUCAUCGAUUCGACUCCUUCAUCAAUACAAACAGUGAACAUCUGAAAUUCACCCUCACCUUUGAUGUGCAAGAAACAAGUUAUCUGGACAUGUUGAUUAAGAGGAAGGGGGUGGCUUUAGCACAGACCUAUACAGGAAGCCGACGGACAGGAAUUCCCUGUUACGCAGAGACAGCUUCCACCCUACACCCCUAAAAAAAAACCAAUUGUAAUACUUGAGUAUAGAAAACAUUUAAAAUGUAAAUUUGUAAUUUUAAUUUCGCAAAUUUCAAACAAAAACAUAACUGUUUUUACUUGUAGGUAACCAGAUCGUGACUACAACUCAGUUACUAAGUCUUUAACCACACUGUGUUGUUACACUGGUGAGUAAAAACUCAUGCUUCCUACCCUUUAACUUUUUGUCUGAAAAUAAAAUCUACAUUUUACUCAACUGCGUCCAGUCAGCAGAUGGACUAGAUGCCGCUUAGGCUGCCCAUUGUGACUCAGUCAAGAAUUCAGCAGAGCAAGUUUGUAUGAAGGUCUGGUUAGUAAAUGGGUACAUAGUUCAAUAGUAAUAUCCUCUAAAACGCUCUGGUGACAAACUUUGCUGCCCUGUUUCCAAUUGUCCACAUGGCUGGGAGAACCUAUUCAAGUAAGUAAGUAUGUAAACAGAUUUUGAAAAUGUAAAAAAAAACGAUGUAUUAUUUGCUAACUAGCUGCAGUGUAGGCUAACUCAAAUGAGCUGUUAAAUGAGCUAUCUAGUUGGCUAGCUAUCUAACCAACUUCAAAUACUGUAUAGAUAGAUAAGUGAAUUAAAAAUCACCAGCUACCUAACUUCAUAUUAGCUAGCUAUCUAUCACUGUAAAAAACAAACUCCAAAUGCAUUUGUAGGUAGCUAGCUAACAGCCAUGGAGGGUGAAAGGAUAGCAGCCCCAACUGUCAGUGAGAGAGGAGGCUAUUCUGGAUAGGGCAGGUACUUUAGUGUAGUUCCUGUCCCUAGAAGUGAGGACGGAGAUAAAAGUAACAUAAUGUUCAGUGUGGUGUAGUUUGACUAUAAUGAAGUGUUUUUCUUUUGAGGUUUUCUGUCCUCAGAUAAAGAGCGCUAUGAAAGCCAGUCAACAUAUGAAGAGGUCCCAAUGAAGAGCAGUGGUUCUCAGUCCUGGGGACUCAAAGAGAGGAACAUAGUUGUUUUUGCCUCAGCACUACACAGCUGAUUCAAAUGAUCAACUCAUCAUCAAGCUUCAAGUGAUACCUUGUAACUUGAGAUUCCUUCAAAAUGAUUGUCUACAGUUAACGUGUAGGGCACUGCAAGGUUGGGUGACCAGGGUCAUCUGGGACCGCCUCCUGGAGGAAUUCAGGUGUGUGAAGGCUACCUGUGUCCUGCGUAACUUCAUGAGGAUGGACACAAGGACCAGGAGGGGAUCUGCAGCUCGCCGCCGUGUCCCAGAGGAGAAGUCUGCUGCUCUGCAGGAUGUUUCAAGGUCGGGGUUCAACAACGCAGCAAGAGAGGCAAUCCGUGUGCAGGAGAUCUUCACCUCCUACUUCUUCAAAGAGGGGGCUGUUCCCUGGCAACACCAUAGACUACACUAUGCUCAACCAAAGGCUCUUUUAAGAGGGUGCUGUUCCCUGGCAACACCAUAGACUACACUAUGCACAACCAAAGGCUCUUUUAAGAGCCAUUCACAUUGCAAUAAGUAUUCUUCCAUUUACUUAGCUAUGUCAACUGCAGUUAUUCAAUUCCUAGUUUCUCUCCCUUUGAUUUCUACUUCUCAUAUGAGGGUGCUCUUUAGGUAAGGGUUUGAUGUCUGUGCAAAAACAAAACAGGCUAUUUUAAAUCACUAAUAUUGAAAACAUGUAGAACAAUUAGACACCCUAUAACCCACACAUGUAUCAAUCUGAUUGAUUGUGUGCAGUAAACAGGCUCAGGUGUAUAACUGUGGCUCCUUCCACCUUCAAAGAAUAGGCAAGAGGGCCAUCCAUGGAGAAUAGUAAGACACUUAAUUAUUUCUAUAACUACUCUAUAUUGUUUGUCCGUUCAUGUUUUUCAGCAUAAAGUACUCUGCAGACACUUAGUGUGGUGUGGACACCAGGUUAUAUCAGCUGUGUCGGUGAACCCCUCCUGCAUCUGAACUGGCUACAUAGAGGGCACAUCAUGAUCAGAGGAAGUAUUAUUAAAGAGAUGCUUUACAUUGAAAUACAGAUGGAGAUGCAGUAGUCGAGUUAAUGAUCCAAGACAUGUUUUGAUGUGAGAGGAUGCCAACCCCCAGUCCCAUCAUCGCCACCUCACCCUCUUUUAAGAUAACCUUUGUACCGACUAGACACCAUUAUGUAAUUGUGAUGAACUGAGAGAAUAUUUAUGUAGCACUGUGAUUCAUUAAUCAUGUGCUGCCUUCCCUGCUCCUAUGUGCUUACCUCUUUCUCUUUGUCUGUUACAACUCCUCUUCUAUAAUGCACAACAGAUGUGCAUUGAAGUACAGAUUGAACUUGUAUUUAUAACACUUGGAUAAUGAGCAUUUCACAUUCUCUACUUGUUGAAAUUAAGUGUAAUUUGAUGAAAUACUCCACCUAUCCUGUUUUUAUCAGAUCAAUGCAGAUGAAGGGCAUUAGAUGUUGAGAUGAACCGGUGUUAAGAGUAUUUACAUGAUGCAUAGGAAGUGUAGUGUUCUGUUUAACAUUAUAUUUCUGUAUAUAUGAAUUAACUGGUUAAAUCCUGUUUCUAGUCUAUUAGUUACAAUGUGUAACCAUUGAUGUCCCAGGACCAAGAUUGGUAAACGCUGUUGAAGUGUAUAAUUGUAAUACAUACAUGAAGACACAGCAUCAUUCAAAGACUGGAAUUUGAUAUUCCUGGUAUUGGAUAUGACUGAAAAAUAAUCUCAAAGACAUUCAUACCUGAACAGCACCUUUAUUUGCCAAGGUAGAGUACAUGAUCAGUGAAUAUAUUAAAUGUACAUGCUACAAUGUGGGGAUCUCAUGCAUGGUAAUAACUACAUGUAUAUACGACUUGCAUCCUUGGCACAACAUGAUAUUAUAUUCUACUCAAUCCA